Molecule: ribosomal RNA, 750 nt
Filed under: Bacillus velezensis
Lineage: Bacteria; Bacillati; Bacillota; Bacilli; Caryophanales; Bacillaceae
Description: bacterial SSU rRNA
Rfam family: Bacterial small subunit ribosomal RNA
Source: RNAcentral
CGGGAAACCGGGGCUAAUACCGGAUGGUUGUCUGAACCGCAUGGUUCAGACAUAAAAGGUGGCUUCGGCUACCACUUACAGAUGGACCCGCGGCGCAUUAGCUAGUUGGUGAGGUAACGGCUCACCAAGGCGACGAUGCGUAGCCGACCUGAGAGGGUGAUCGGCCACACUGGGACUGAGACACGGCCCAGACUCCUACGGGAGGCAGCAGUAGGGAAUCUUCCGCAAUGGACGAAAGUCUGACGGAGCAACGCCGCGUGAGUGAUGAAGGUUUUCGGAUCGUAAAGCUCUGUUGUUAGGGAAGAACAAGUGCCGUUCAAAUAGGGCGGCACCUUGACGGUACCUAACCAGAAAGCCACGGCUAACUACGUGCCAGCAGCCGCGGUAAUACGUAGGUGGCAAGCGUUGUCCGGAAUUAUUGGGCGUAAAGGGCUCGCAGGCGGUUUCUUAAGUCUGAUGUGAAAGCCCCCGGCUCAACCGGGGAGGGUCAUUGGAAACUGGGGAACUUGAGUGCAGAAGAGGAGAGUGGAAUUCCACGUGUAGCGGUGAAAUGCGUAGAGAUGUGGAGGAACACCAGUGGCGAAGGCGACUCUCUGGUCUGUAACUGACGCUGAGGAGCGAAAGCGUGGGGAGCGAACAGGAUUAGAUACCCUGGUAGUCCACGCCGUAAACGAUGAGUGCUAAGUGUUAGGGGGUUUCCGCCCCUUAGUGCUGCAGCUAACGCAUUAAGCACUCCGCCUGGGGAGUACG